GAGUUUGAUCGUGGCUCAGAUUGAACGCUGGCGGUAUGCUUAACACAUGCAAGUCGAACGGUAACAGGAGAGAGCUUGCUCUUUUGCUGACGAGUGGCGGACGGGUGAGUAAUGCGUAGGAAUCUGCCUAGUAGUGGGGGACAACGUGUGGAAACGCACGCUAAUACCGCAUACGCCCUACGGGGAAAGCGGGGAUCUUCGGACCUCGCGCUAUUAGAUGAGCCUACGUUAGAUUAGCUAGUUGGUGGGGUAAAGGCCUACCAAGGCGACGAUCUAUAGCUGGUCUGAGAGGAUGAUCAGCCACACUGGGACUGAGACACGGCCCAGACUCCUACGGGAGGCAGCAGUGGGGAAUAUUGGACAAUGGGCGAAAGCCUGAUCCAGCAAUACCGCGUGUGUGAAGAAGGCCUGAGGGUUGUAAAGCACUUUCAAUUGUGAAGAAUAUUUAAGGUUAAU
This 456-nucleotide ribosomal RNA is filed under the name uncultured microorganism. Its description in RNAcentral is "bacterial SSU rRNA". It matches the Rfam family "Bacterial small subunit ribosomal RNA", at positions 9 to 463 of the family's 1533-position model. The record is from RNAcentral.